This 254-nucleotide ribosomal RNA is filed under the name uncultured bacterium. RNAcentral describes it as "partial 16S ribosomal RNA". It matches the Rfam family "Bacterial small subunit ribosomal RNA", at positions 524 to 776 of the family's 1533-position model. The record is from RNAcentral.
GACAGAGGCCUCGAGCGUUAGGCGGAAUCACUGGGCUUAAAGCGUGUGUAGGCGGACCUCUAAGUACCUUGUGAAAUCCCAACGGCUCACCCGUGGAACCGCUGGGUAUACUGGGGGUCUUGGGCCACUCAGGGGCGACUGGAACAAGCGGUGGAGCGGUGAAAUGCGUAGAUAUCGCUUGGAACGCCGAAGGUGAAAACAGGUCGCUGGGAGUGCGCCGACGCUGAGACACGAAAGCCAGGGGAGCAAACGGG